This is a long non-coding RNA of Drosophila willistoni, 229 nucleotides long. RefSeq lists it as uncharacterized. The record is from RefSeq and is a predicted model, not a curated record. The transcript has 3 exons. NCBI's taxonomy places the organism in Eukaryota, Metazoa, Arthropoda, Insecta, Diptera, Drosophilidae.
AAAGAAAUUAUACCACCACCACCGGUGACAAAUGGUUUGAAAGUUGUCGGACUUUGAAAGGUCCUUGGAAGCCCCGAUGUGCCCGCAUGCCACUACAGCACCAGCACAUUAUUGGGGGGAAUGGGAUUGCAUGGAUAUCAAAUUAAAGACGGCCCCAACUGUGUUUAUACCCCGCCCUGAAGUUUGUUACCCUUUGCGGACGCCACUGCCAUGUGAUAACCGGAUGGUC